This 292-nucleotide ribosomal RNA is filed under the name uncultured bacterium. RNAcentral's name for it is "partial 16S ribosomal RNA". It matches the Rfam family "Bacterial small subunit ribosomal RNA", at positions 505 to 796 of the family's 1533-position model. The record is from RNAcentral.
GUGCCAGCCGCCGCGGUAAUACGUAGGGGGCAAGCGUUGUUCGGAAUUACUGGGCGUAAAGGGCGCGUAGGCGGCACAGCAAGUCGGGAGUGAAAGCCCGGGGCUCAACCCCGGAACUGCUUUCGAAACUGCUGAGCUAGAGUACAGAAGGGGCAACCGGAAUUCCCAGUGUAGCGGUGAAAUGCGUAGAUAUUGGGAAGAACACCUGAGGCGAAGGCGGGUUGCUGGGCUGAUACUGACGCUGAGGCGCGAAAGCCAGGGGAGCAAACGGGAUUAGAAACCCUCGUAGUCC